GGGAAAGUGGCUCAGUGGUAGAGCGCUGGCCUUGCACGCCUGAGGCCCUGGGUUCGAUUCCUCAGCACCA
This 70-nucleotide transfer RNA is filed under the name Dipodomys ordii (Ord's kangaroo rat). It matches the Rfam family "tRNA". From Rfam's summary of the family: Transfer RNA (tRNA) molecules are approximately 80 nucleotides in length. Their secondary structure includes four short double-helical elements and three loops (D, anti-codon, and T loops). Lineage: Eukaryota; Metazoa; Chordata; Mammalia; Rodentia; Heteromyidae. The record is from Rfam by way of RNAcentral.